GCUUAACACAUGCAAGUCGAGGGGCAGCAUUUCAUUUUGCUUGCAAACUGGAGAUGGCGACCGGCGCACGGGUGAGUAACACGUAUCCAACCUGCCGAUAACUCGGGGAUAGCCUUUCGAAAGAAAGAUUAAUACCCGAUGGUAUAAUCAGACCGCAUGGUCUUGUUAUUAAAGAAUUUCGGUUAUCGAUGGGGAUGCGUUCCAUUAGGCAGUUGGUGAGGUAACGGCUCACCAAACCUUCGAUGGAUAGGGGUUCUGAGAGGAAGGUCCCCCACAUUGGAACUGAGACACGGUCCAAACUCCUACGGGAGGCAGCAGUGAGGAAUAUUGGUCAAUGGGCGCAGGCCUGAACCAGCCAAGUAGCGUGAAGGAUGACUGCCCUAUGGGUUGUAAACUUCUUUUAUAUGGGAAUAAAGUUUUCCACGUGUGGAAUUUUGUAUGUACCAUAUGAAUAAGGAUCGGCUAACUCCGUGCCAGCAGCCGCGGUAAUACGGAGGAUCCGAGCGUUAUCCGGAUUUAUUGGGUUUAAAGGGAGCGUAGGUGGACAGUUAAGUCAGUUGUGAAAGUUUGCGGCUCAACCGUAAAAUUGCAGUUGAUACUGGCUGUCUUGAGUACAGUAGAGGUGGGCGGAAUUCGUGGUGUAGCGGUGAAAUGCUUAGAUAUCACGAAGAACUCCGAUUGCGAAGGCAGCUCACUGGACUGCAACUGACACUGAUGCUCGAAAGUGUGGGUAUCAAACAGGAUUAGAUACCCUGGUAGUCCACACAGUAAACGAUGAAUACUCGCUGUUUGCGAUAUACAGUAAGCGGCCAAGCGAAAGCAUUAAGUAUUCCACCUGGGGAGUACGCCGGCAACGGUGAAACUCAAAGGAAUUGACGGGGGCCCGCACAAGCGGAGGAACAUGUGGUUUAAUUCGAUGAUACGCGAGGAACCUUACCCGGGCUUAAAUUGCAUUUGAAUAUAUUGGAAACAGUAUAGCCGUAAGGCAAAUGUGAAGGUGCUGCAUGGUUGUCGUCAGCUCGUGCCGUGAGGUGUCGGCUUAAGUGCCAUAACGAGCGCAACCCUUAUCUUUAGUUACUAACAGGUCAUGCUGAGGACUCUAGAGAGACUGCCGUCGUAAGAUGUGAGGAAGGUGGGGAUGACGUCAAAUCAGCACGGCCCUUACGUCCGGGGCUACACACGUGUUACAAUGGGGGGUACAGAAGGCAGCUACCUGGUGACAGGAUGCUAAUCCCAAAAGCCUCUCUCAGUUCGGAUCGAAGUCUGCAACCCGACUUCGUGAAGCUGGAUUCGCUAGUAAUCGCGCAUCAGCCAUGGCGCGGUGAAUACGUUCCCGGGCCUUGUACACACCGCCCGUCAAGCCAUGAAAGCCGGGGGUACCUGAAGUACGUAACCGCAAGGAGCGUCCUAGGGUAAAACUGGUAAUUGGGGC
RNAcentral lists this ribosomal RNA (1432 nucleotides) under uncultured organism. RNAcentral describes it as "16S ribosomal RNA". It matches the Rfam family "Bacterial small subunit ribosomal RNA". The record is from RNAcentral.